UGGCUGAUGGGCAUUUCUUACAUAUAAAUUUAUGUGUGCACAUAUAAGUGUGCAUAUAUAUAUAAAAACAUAUAAUUAAAGAAUAAACCCAAGGUGGCUGAUCUGAGAAGGAAACCACCUUUCAAGAGGAGGAAAUUGCCCUUUUAAGAGGAGGAAAUUUGGAGAACAAGGUCUCAAUGUUGGGAAGACAUGCUUCAACCAGGGGGCGGGUGCUAGGUUUUAUGGAAGAAGAAGCUGAGCACUUCUGUAGAUAUGGUCAUUUCUGCCCCUCCCUGUACCCAGAAAGAGGCAAUGUCAACAGAGUAUUCCAGUAAGUCCUCUCCCUUAUAGAG
Oxyura jamaicensis (ruddy duck) is the source of this 332-nucleotide long non-coding RNA. RefSeq lists it as uncharacterized. NCBI's taxonomy places the organism in Eukaryota, Metazoa, Chordata, Aves, Anseriformes, Anatidae. The record is from RefSeq and is a predicted model, not a curated record. The transcript has 3 exons.